RNAcentral lists this small nuclear RNA (107 nucleotides) under Physeter macrocephalus (sperm whale). Lineage: Eukaryota; Metazoa; Chordata; Mammalia; Artiodactyla; Physeteridae. The record is from RNAcentral.
GUGCUCGUUUCAGCAGCACAUAUACUAAAACUGGAACGAUACAGAGAAGAUUAGCAUGGCCCCUGCACAAGGAUGACAAGAAAAUUCGUGAAGCGUUCCAUUUUUUU